This 445-nucleotide ribosomal RNA is filed under the name uncultured bacterium. RNAcentral describes it as "bacterial SSU rRNA". It matches the Rfam family "Bacterial small subunit ribosomal RNA", at positions 29 to 521 of the family's 1533-position model. The record is from RNAcentral.
AACGAACGCUGGCGGCAGGCCUAACACAUGCAAGUCGAACGCGUCCUUCGGGACGAGUGGCAGACGGGUGAGUAACGCGUGGGAACGUACCCUUUGGUUCGGAACAACAGCGGGAAACUGCUGCUAAUACCGGAUAAGCCCUUCGGGGGAAAGAUUAUCGCCAGAGGAUCGGCCCGCGUUAGAUUAGCUUGUUGGUGAGGUAAUGGCUCACCAAGGCUACGAUCUAUAGCUGGUCUGAGAGGAUGAUCAGCCACACUGGGACUGAGACACGGCCCAGACUCUUACGGGAGGCAGCAGUGGGGAAUCUUGGACAAUGGGCGAAAGCCUGAUCCAGCCAUGCCGCGUGAAUGAUGAAGGCCCUAGGGUUGUAAAAUUCUUUCGACGGGGAAGAUAAUGACGGUACCCGUAGAAGAAGCUCCGGCUAACUCGUGCCAGCAGCCGCGGU